UACGGAGGGUGCAAGCGUUAUCCGGAUUCACUGGGUUUAAAGGGUGCGUAGGUGGGCAAGUAAGUCAGUGGUGAAAUCUCCGGGCUUAACUCGGAAAGGUCAACUGAUACUGUGCGACUAGAGUGCAGAAGGGGCAACUGGAAUUCUCGGUGUAGCGGUGAAAUGCGUAGAUAUCGAGAGGAACACCUGCGGCGAAGGCGGGUUGCUGGGCUGACACUGACGCUGAUGCGCGAAAGCCAGGGGAGCGAACGGG
Molecule: ribosomal RNA, 253 nt
Filed under: uncultured bacterium
Lineage: Bacteria
Description: partial 16S ribosomal RNA
Rfam family: Bacterial small subunit ribosomal RNA
Source: RNAcentral